AGAAUCAACGCUGGCGGCGUGCCUAACACAUGCAAGUCGCACGAGAAAGGGACUUCGGUCCUGAGUACAGUGGCGCACGAGUGAGUAACACGUGAAUAAUCUACCUCCGAGUGGGGAAUAACUGAGAGAAAUCUUAGCUAAUACCGCAUAACACUUACGAGUCAAAGCAGCAAUGCGCUUGGAGAGGAGUUCGCGGCAGAUUAGUUAGUUGGCGGGGUAAUGGCCCACCAAGACGAUGAUCUGUAUCCGGCCUGAGAGGGCGCACGGACACACUGGAACUGAAACACGGUCCAGACUCCUACGGGAGGCAGCAGUGGGGAAUUUUGCGCAAUGGGGAAACCCUGACGCAGCAACGCCGCGUGGAGGAUGAAAUAUCUUGGUAUGUAAACUCCUUUCGAUGGGGAAGAUAAUGACGGUACCCAUAGAGAAGCCCGGCUAACUUCGCGCCAGCAGCCGC
Molecule: ribosomal RNA, 457 nt
Filed under: uncultured bacterium
Lineage: Bacteria
Description: SSU rRNA
Rfam family: Bacterial small subunit ribosomal RNA
Source: RNAcentral